AACGAACGCUGGCGGCAUGCCUAACACAUGCAAGUCGAACGAGAUCUUCGGAUCUAGUGGCGCACGGGUGCGUAACGCGUGGGAAUCUGCCCCUUGCUUCGGAAUAACAGUGAGAAAUUACUGCUAAUACCGGAUGAUGUCUUCGGACCAAAGAUUUAUCGGCAAGGGAUGAGCCCGCGUAGGAUUAGGUAGUUGGUGGGGUAAUGGCCUACCAAGCCGACGAUCCUUAGCUGGUCUGAGAGGAUGAUCAGCCACACUGGGACUGAGACACGGCCCAGACUCCUACGGGAGGCAGCAGUGGGGAAUAUUGGACAAUGGGCGAAAGCCUGAUCCAGCAAUGCCGCGUGAGUGAUGAAGGCCUUAGGGUUGUAUAGCUCUUUUACCAGGGAUGAUAAUGACAGUACCUGGAGAAUAAGCUCCGGCUAACUCCGUG
RNAcentral lists this ribosomal RNA (433 nucleotides) under uncultured bacterium. RNAcentral describes it as "partial 16S ribosomal RNA". It matches the Rfam family "Bacterial small subunit ribosomal RNA", at positions 29 to 507 of the family's 1533-position model. The record is from RNAcentral.